AUGGAGCUGCUCAAGGAGCUGGUCCCCGGGUGCAGCAAGGUAUCAGGAACAGCGCUGGUACUGGAGGAGAUCAUCAAUCAUGUUCAAUCCCUUCAAAGACAAGUCGAGUACCUGUCAAUGAGACUCGCAGCAGUAAACCCAAGGGUUGACUUUGGUGGGCUAGACAACCUUUUGACUACAGAGUGUGGAAGGAUAACAGGUUUAAACUGCAAGAGUGGAAUGGACUUGGAGCAAGUCAGCUGGCCCGACAUGGGCGUCCAUGGAGCGAGAAAUCUUGCGCAGCUACAACAGCAGUUCUGGCAUGGUGAUUUAGCACAUCCACAGCAAGCAGCUUCACCGUGGGAAAAACGGGGGGACGUACAACCUCCUGUCUUUAGCAACACCAGCUCCUCUCUCUUCGGCUACGAUCUCGCAAGCUCUGGACCGCAGCAACCGCCAACAAGCAAGCUAAAAACAGAGCUGUGA
This 465-nucleotide ribosomal RNA is filed under the name Triticum aestivum (bread wheat). RNAcentral's name for it is "partial small subunit ribosomal RNA". Lineage: Eukaryota; Viridiplantae; Streptophyta; Magnoliopsida; Poales; Poaceae. The record is from RNAcentral.